CCUCAACAUUAGGAUCCCAUAAAAAUCUGGAGCUGGUUAGCUGCAUGCAACGCUUAAGAGAGUUUAUAGUCCACAUUAAUAUAGUUGUCAAUCUAAGUUAACUUUUGCAACCAGUGAAUAUGAUGUGGCCAAGGCAGCGGGACAAACGGACGCGCCAAGGAGCUAUGAAGAAAGGCCCAGCAAAGUGGCUCUCUCUCUCUGGAAGGAUGUCAGCUCUCUGUGCCUGGCCAUCCCUGAGGACGCUUGAUGUCAUCUUGUCUACCUGAUCAUUACACUACCUGCUCUCCUCUACAAUGCUGCCCUCUCGCUGCUCCGCCACUUGAAAUGCUUGGCUGGCCUCUUCUCUGAAACCAUCAUGAAAUUGUGUGCUAAAACGCUGCAGACCGGGCCUCCUCUCUCCUCCCUCCAGCCAUGUGUGCAGGAGCCAGAAAAAGAUUCCUCCACUCGGACGGCUGCUGCUCAGUCACGGGGAAAACACACAAAACAUCCUUCAGCCAUCUGCCACUGCUCACCUCUCUCUCUCUCACAGCUUUUAUUUGAUUUAUUGAUGUUUGCAGUGUAUGAUAUGUUAUACACGACAGCAAUAUCCAAGUAAAUGUAAUGGACACAUACCCAGGUGUUUAAAAAAACAAGUCAGUUUGUAGAUUUCAUGAUUUAUUAAAAUCUACAAGUCAGGCUUUAUGCAGGUUCACUGACUGUGUUUGCCACUGUGCGUGAGAUAUUAAAGACUUUGUAAUGAGA
Long non-coding RNA from Siniperca chuatsi (mandarin fish), 741 nucleotides. RefSeq lists it as uncharacterized. NCBI's taxonomy places the organism in Eukaryota, Metazoa, Chordata, Actinopteri, Centrarchiformes, Sinipercidae. The transcript is spliced from 2 exons. The record is from RefSeq and is a predicted model, not a curated record.